This 466-nucleotide ribosomal RNA is filed under the name uncultured bacterium. RNAcentral describes it as "bacterial SSU rRNA". It matches the Rfam family "Bacterial small subunit ribosomal RNA", at positions 329 to 792 of the family's 1533-position model. The record is from RNAcentral.
GCCCAGACUCCUACGGGAGGCAGCAGUGAGGAAUAUUGGUCAAUGGGCGGAAGCCUGAACCAGCCAAGUCGCGUGAGGGAAGAAGGCCCUGCGGGUCGCAGACCUCUUUGGACGGGGAGCAAGGCCGCCGACGUGUCGGCGGAAGGAGAGUACCCGUAGAACAAGCAUCGGCUAACUCCGUGCCAGCAGCCGCGGUAAUACGGAGGAUGCGAGCGUUAUCCGGAUUUAUUGGGUUAAAAGGGUGCGCAGGCGGCCUGUUAACGCGGCGGAAAAGCCCCGGGGCCCAACCCGGGCGAGCCGUUGAAACUGGCGGGCUGGAGUUGGAGAGAAGUACGCGGAAUGCGCGGUGUAGCGGUGAAAUGCUUAGAUAUCGCGCAGAACCCCGAUUGCGAAGGCAGCGUACCGGCUCCACACUGACGCUGAGGCACGAAAGCGUGGGUAUCGAACAGGAUUAGAUACCCCUGUA